CAUGUUCAUUCAUCUGCCACUGAAUAAGAUCCACACACUCGCAGACCAGUCCCCCCUUGGGUCCUUGAAUCCUGAAGAAAGCAGGACUAUAAAUUCGAGAGAGCAACAAGUCCACCAUGAAGACGGACAGGCUCAGCACCCCUGUCGCUGGCUGAUGAAGUCGACUUGGGGACAUGCUGGAGGAGCACUAGCUCUAUGCCCUGAGGACAAAGGCCUCUCCUCAGAAGAUUCUGGGCCAGGGCAGAGCACUGCACAGGCAUCGGGAAGGUAACCAGCUACACCAGUAACCUCACACGCCCUGCGGCUGCGGCUGGUGACAGACACAUCACCAUGAGGCUCUGAGGUGUGAGAAUGGCUCUUGCGGCUCUCAGUUACAAUAAAUCGAC
Long non-coding RNA from Manis pentadactyla (Chinese pangolin), 386 nucleotides. RefSeq lists it as uncharacterized. The transcript is spliced from 3 exons. The record is from RefSeq and is a predicted model, not a curated record. Lineage: Eukaryota; Metazoa; Chordata; Mammalia; Pholidota; Manidae.